Molecule: long non-coding RNA, 1319 nt
Filed under: Anser cygnoides (Swan goose)
Lineage: Eukaryota; Metazoa; Chordata; Aves; Anseriformes; Anatidae
Description: lncRNA (ENSACDG00005018814.1)
Source: RNAcentral
CCGCCAAUAGGGAAGCGGCCAAGGGACGAGGCCACGCCCCCCUGGCCGGCCCGCCGGGGAGCCCCGCUCCGGCAGGGGGCGCCAUUUUGUGCCUCCCACCCCUCCGCCAGGGGGCGCCAUUUUGUGCCGCCCCGCCGAGGGGCGCUGUCGGUCCUGUGGGGGCUGCAGCCCCGCUGGGCGCUGUGGGGUGCCCAGAUCCUGCAGUUCCUUCGGCUUUUGUUUGGGGGGCUGAGGGAGAGCAAGACGCAGCCAGGACCGAAGGACCCUCAGCCCUUCCUGGGCUGUCACCGAUGGCACAGCCUGCCUUGCAGAGCGGCUCCGGGCUCCUUGGACAGCCUCGGGGCUGCUUUGACUCACACCUGCUUGCCCCAAGGCUCCUUGGUGCAUCCUAGUCCCCUUGGGCUCCAUCUGAGGAGAACCCUCGAAGGCUUGAAGGCAAAACAAGCAAAAACAAGCCAUGGGCCUCAGAGAUGAUGUGAGUAGGGCCUGAGGUUUGCACUAGAAAUCACUCAUGCUUGUGGGAAAGACAGAGAACUCUUGCAGACAAUGGAGAAAAAUAUUUGUGCAGCUUACGGAGAGACAUCCAGGGGGACUGAACUGUUGCUGGAAGGAACCUCUGACUCCAGCUUGCCUCAUCAGUUUGGGAAGCGGCCAUCUGUCUCCAGGCUGCCAUUAGGAAACAAUCUUUGGUGCACGCUGUCCCAAGCCAUGCCCGUUGGAGGGGCCUCCCGUGUAACUUCAUCAGAGUUCACAGACCUCCCCCCAUGUCCCAUGAACUUGGAAAGCUUGUUCCCCUCCAUGCUGGCACGAGGACUGCUGGUAUUGCAGAGCCUCUUGGCAAAGGUUCUCUGCUGCUCAUGGGGGAUUGGAAAGCUGGAACACCACCUUGGAGUAAAGAGACAGGUGUCAUUGGAAAAAAAAUAAAUAAAGCUUUUUGUUCUCAGUGCCUGUGUUCAUCUGAAUGGAAAAUCCAGGCGAGGAUCUCCAGAGCCCACGGUUCACAAUGACAGCUCUCCUGGUUUCUAAUUUUGGAACAAAGUACUCCUCACCACUGCUUUUCCUAAACACCCCCGGUACAUUUUCAGAGCAUGAUUUCAUAGGAUCUAACAGAAGGAGGGACUGUGAAGACACACAUACAGAAUCUCAGAAGGAGCAACAUCUGUGUAAGUAAAAUGUACAAGCCUUUAUUAUCAAGGUAAACUACAGAGUGGAAGCAACGAGCACUCUUUUAGAAAGCACUGGCUUGAGCGUGCGACCGGAUUUGUAUGCUCCUACAGGGAAAUAUAAAGGAAAUAAAACUGUCCUCCGGUGAUGUGACA